UGCACUCAAUAUCCAUCUUUCCCUUGGUUCUGGAACAUUGACUACUUAACUGCUCUAGCUCCAGCAUUCUUUGCAGCUAUACCUGGCCCUUUCACUAAGCUCGGUGGGAUAAUGAAUGGAAGUGAUGCACACAUGUCAAGGUCAUCUCCAAGUGCAGAGCGAUUACUCUGUAAUCUGGCCCCCUGCCUACCUCUCUAGUGUCCUCUAUUGUACUUCCUGAAAUUUUAUACUCUAAUCAUAUCAAGUGGCUUGUUUCCUGUUGGGCUGUUAUUUUGCUUAAGAAGUUUACUCCUUUUGUUCUCUCAGUAUGAAAUACCCUUUGUCCUUUCAUUGUCUUCAAAUUUUAGAACUUCCUCUCCUCUAUCUUCCUAUCUCUGUUCCAGUCUGUGUUAGAUACCACUCCUGUGAGCUUCUACCAUACUAGGUAUAUUGAAAUUUCUUAUUCAUAUAUCUGGUUUGUCAAUUUGGCUAAAAGUCCUUGCAGAAAGCUACUGUGUUGUAUCCAUGUCUAUAGCCUUGCCAUCUAGCAAGGGGCUUGGCACUUGGUCCAUCCUUCAUCAAACUGCUUCUUGAAUGACCCUGAUAUCCAAAGCAGUCAGGUGGCAAAGGGCAUUGAAUCAACAUGAUUGGUUGAAUGCAUGUGACAAGGAGCUGAGAAGAAUAAUGCUCUCCAUGAGAAACUGGAUGUCUGCUUCACCUGGCCAUCCUGCUAUAAAGGAAAAGGAUCUUUGCUUAUACAUCUCCAUUUCUUUCUGCAUGGGGCCUCCCCGGUGGCAUCUCUCUUUCACAUACCCUAUAUCUCCCUCUCUCUCGGUCCACAUUUUCUUUAUGGGGCCUUUCUCAGAGCAUGCCGCCCUCACACUUCAAACUUGGCUACAUUAGGAAUACCUCCUUAUCACUAUUUCACAAAGUGUCACAAUUCCACUGGACCAGAGAAAGCAAUAUAAUUUUAAUUUUUUAUUUGCUUCAAGUAUAGCAGAGUGACAGGAUUGGUGAGGCAAAAUGUGAUUGAGGGCAAGGGAGAAGAAAUGUUUUGGGGAAGGAUUCCUUUUAUGGCACAAUGUCACAGUGUUGUGUCAUAAUUGUCAUUUGUUUUUAUAGCAUAUUUUUGAAUCUAAAUUCCUGGCUGACUAACUUCAGAUUGUUAGCAGUCCGUCAGGCCUUCCUGCUCACUGAGUUUAAGAGUAGAGUCUAAAGGUUGUUCUCCAUGUUCCCUUUUAGAGGCCAGGGGAGUUUUCAUCCUUUGUUUUUUAUCUUCUCAAAUAUGGCUGAUGGUUCUGAUGGUUGUUAGGAUAUUAUAAUAUCAUAUUAUUUAUGAUAGUUUAGAAUCAGAGGCACUUCUGCUUCAUCUUCACACAAUGGAGAUUGCACCAAUCUAACUUUCCUGUAUGCAGAUUUUAGCAAGAAAGCUAUUCCUUCAUGCAAAGUAUAUUUAUGGAGUGUCUUCUAAAAUUUGUGCCUUCAUUGAUGUUUGAAAGUCUUAUUUUGUUCCUCUCCUCAAUUUUUCUGUUUUCUUUCUUUUCUUUUUUCUUUUCUUCUUUCCUUUCUCUUUCUUUCUUUCUUUCUUUCUUUCUUUCUUUCUUUCUUUCUUUCUUUCUUUCUUUCUUUCCUUUCUUCCUUCCUUCCUUCCUUCCUUCCUUCUUUCCUUCCUUCCUUCUUUUUCUGACAUUUUUGUCUAACAGUUUCCAGCCCUCCCCAGAGGCCCUGCUAAACUCUCUAGAGCCUUCUUUUCUUUUCCUCAUAAGGGGGUCCUUGAUGGAGAACACGGAUGCUUCUUCCUUCCAUUCAAGAUCCGUGUUAACUCUUAGGGUUUGAGGUUUGACUUUCGAAGACAUGAGGCCUAACAGGGCCUCCAACACUGACCGGGCUCUGAGCCUACAGAGAACGUUUCUGUCUUUCCUGUAUGCCCUGAGAUAAAACUCCCUCUGUCUUUUUAUUCCAUUGCCUUCCCUCUUGUGUGGAUCUGUAAUGAUUGCUGGAGUGCUGGGAAUUCAUGCUAAUAAUGAGUUCUCGAGAGCGACUUUCUCUUUUUUUCCCUCCUUUUUUCUUUCUUUCUUUUUUUUCUUUUUUUGUCCUCAAGUGGUUAGCUCUGAAAAGAAUAAUUUAUCAAAUCAUUUUUAUUCAACUUUGGAGGGAGAAGAAAGAGGAAAAGGAGGGAGAAAAGCCCUUUUGCAGUUUUAAUUGCUUUGCAGUGUCUGCAGGAGGCUCUCUGCUCAGCUUAUCAAAGCUCACACAGCCAGGCCCUGUGCCUCUGGCUCCGCACAGCCUCGGCGGAGCGGCUGGGCUCCACUGAUGGACCUGAUAUGGCCUCAGCUAUCUGAUGACUUCGGUGCUUAGCAGGUUAAUUCAAGUGAUGAAUUGAAAAUUUGGGGAGGGUAGGAGGAAAGGGAUAGAGGCUGUUUUUAGGAUUUUUAAAAUUGAGAUGAAAAAAAUGAAGUCUUGUCCCUCCCUUUCUGCUUUCUAGGAUUUGAUAAAUUUGUAUUUUUAAUGGGGAAAUAAAGUUUUCAUUAGGGCUAAGAUCAUAUUAGAGUGUAUUGAUUGAUUUACCACUAUCUCCACCACUCAGGAAUAUCUCUGCAAUGUAGGUCUCACUGAAGAAGCCAAAAAUUCAAGGGGACAUUAAAACUUGCAGAAGAGAAGGCUGAGGCACAGUACAGUAUUCCAGUGAAGACAAUGUAAUAGGUUGUUUUAAGGGGACGUUGACAAGAUGGUCACAAUCUCUAAGAAGGUAGAAGAGACCAUGUAAUCAAGUUCUCUGUGAGAAAUAGAUGAGCUGUUGUUAAAGCCUUAUAAAAACAAAUGUUUUAAAGCUGGUGGUUACCACGGAGUUGCCAUUGUGGCUCAGCAGAUUACGAACCCGACUAGUAUGCAUGAAGAUGAGGGUUUGAUCCCUGGCCUCGUUGGUGGGUUAAGGAUCCAGCAUUGCUGUGAGCUGUGAUGUAGGUCACAGAUGCAGCUCGGAUCUAGGCAUUGCUGUGGGCAUUGCUGGGCAUUGCUGUGGUGUAGGCUGGCAGCUGCAGCUCCAGUUCAACCCCUGGCAUGGAAACUUCCAUAUGCCAUGGGUGCAGCCCUAAAAAGAAAAAAAAAUAAGAAAUUAAUAAAACUGGUGGUUACAAGUGGGGAGAGGGAGAGGGAGGGGCAAGAUAAGGGUAGGGGAGUAAGACACACAAACUAUUAGGUCUAAGAUAAGCUACCAGGAUAUAUUGUACAACAUGGGGAGUAUAGCCAAUAUUUUAUAACUAUAAAUGGAGUAUAACCUUUAAAAAUUGUGAAUCUCUAUACUGUAACCUGCCAUACACACACACACACACACACACACACGUAUAAAAUGUACAGCAAUGAUACCACACCUUUUUUUAAAAAGUGGUUUUUAAAAGGAGUUUGGGAGCAGCUUGUGGAAUCACUAUCAACAAAAUGACUUAAAAGUUGAUACUUUAGAUGGAGAGGGUGUAGAGAAAGGGAACCUCCUAUACUGUUGGUGGGAAUGUAAAUUGGUGCAGUCACUAUGGAGAACAUAGUGGAAGCUCCUUAAAAAAAUCAAUAGAGUUACCAUAUGAUCCAGCAAUCCCAUUCCUGGGCACAUAUCUAUAGAAAACUCUAAUUUUAAAAGAUACAUGCACCCCCAGUAUUCACAGCAGCGCUACUUACAAUAGCCAAGACAUGGAAGCAACCCAAGUGUCCAUCAACAGAUGAUGGAUAAAGAAGAUAUUUUACACACACACACACACACACACACAUCCACACAGGAAUGUUACUCAGCCAUAAAAAAGAAUGCAGUAAUGCCAUUUGCACCAAUAUGGAUGGACCUAGAGAUUAUCAAAUUAAGUUAAAUAAGUCAAGGAGAAAUAUCAUAUGGUAUCACUUACAAGUAAAAUCUAAAAUAUGAUAUAAAUGGCUAUUGUGAAUAGUGCUGCAGUGAACAUGUGGGUGCAUGUGUAUUUUUUAAGGAAAGUUUUGUCAGAUAUAUGCCCAAGAAUGGGAUUGCUGGGUCAUACGGUAGUUCUAUGUAUAGUUUUCUAAGGUACCGCCAUACUGUUCUCCAUAGUGGUUGCAAAGGGGAAGGGGAGGGAGUGGGAUGGACUAGGAGCUUGGGGUUAAUAGAUGCAGACUGUUGCCUUUGGAAUGGAUUAGCAAUGAGAUCCUGCUGUGUAGCACUGGGAACUCUUGUCUAGUCACUUAUGAUGGAACAUGUAAUGUGAGAAAAAAGAAUGUAUACACGUACAUGUAACUGGAUCACCAUGCUGUACAG
This 4249-nucleotide long non-coding RNA is filed under the name Sus scrofa (pig). Its description in RNAcentral is "lncRNA (ENSSSCG00000055781.1)". Lineage: Eukaryota; Metazoa; Chordata; Mammalia; Artiodactyla; Suidae. The record is from RNAcentral.